UGGGGAAUCUUGCACAAUGGAGGAAACUCUGAUGCAGCGACGCCGCGUGAGCGAAGAAGCCUUUCGGGGUGUAAAGCUCUUACGCCAGGGACGAUAAUGACGGUACCUGGAGAAGCAGCUGCGGCUAACUACGUGCCAGCAGCCGCGGUAAUACGUAGGCAGCAAGCGUUGUUCGGAAUUACUGGGCGUAAAGGGUGCGUAGGCGGCGCUCUAAGUUUGGUGUGAAAUCUCCCGGCUUAACUGGGAGGGUGCACUGAAAACUGGGGCGCCCGAGUAUGGGAGAGGAAAGCAGAAUUCCUGGUGUAGCGGUGAAAUGCGUAGCGAUCAGGAGGAACACCUGCGGUGCAGACGGCUUUCUGGACCAUCACUGACGCUGAGGUACGAAAGCGUGGGU
RNAcentral lists this ribosomal RNA (394 nucleotides) under uncultured bacterium. Its description in RNAcentral is "bacterial SSU rRNA". It matches the Rfam family "Bacterial small subunit ribosomal RNA", at positions 355 to 766 of the family's 1533-position model. The record is from RNAcentral.